AAGUCAAUACCUUCAUGUCUUUUACACUUGACACAUUUGACGCAAUCUUGGCGUCAGGUGCUCGUCGUCGUCCUAGCAUGCGACUUGCCGAAUAGCUCGUCACGAACUUUUAUGAUAUCCAUUUAACUACGCACAAGCAGUAACUGUCCUACAUCCAUCCGCUUGCGCACAGCAGCCCCUCAUUAGAUUUGGUUUCGGUUGUAUAAAUAGAGAAAUAUGUCUGGUUGAGGACAAUUGUUCCAGCCAUCCAAGUCAUCACAUACCUAUCGAGAGCCUUCGAGCGCAAAACGCAAAUUUUACUAUUUAAAAAAUGAACUCAGUAGCAACCGCGUUCAUCCUUUGCCAGUUAGUGUUGACCCUAUGGCCGGCCGGUGCUGUGGCGGCACCACCUGCAGAGACUAACACGUCCUCGAAGAAUCUCGAAGACUUCAGAAAUCACAUACGCUCCACUUUGACAAAUUAUUUAAUGACACAGACCCACGCCAGGUAUGGAAAGCGAAUGGUCCCCCAUGGCACAUCCGUUUCCAAUAAUCGCAACUGGAACGCUCAGAACCCAAGCGAAGAGUGGGUUGGACAUAACGAUGGCAGAGAACCGAGUGGCAAAGACGAAAACCUGAUGGACAUUUGCUUUAAAAUCAACACGUCGCCGGAAAUUCGAAAUCUUUUACUUUCUUAAUUUUGAAACCGUUCCAUUUGAAAAAAAUCUAAAUGACAAUCUGAUAGUUACACCAUAACUUCAGAGUGUGAAAAGAGGAAACUUACUUAUGUUUAAAUACAUCUCCAUUUACAUGCUGUCA
RNA transcript from Daphnia magna, 797 nucleotides. RefSeq lists it as uncharacterized. NCBI's taxonomy places the organism in Eukaryota, Metazoa, Arthropoda, Branchiopoda, Diplostraca, Daphniidae. The record is from RefSeq and is a predicted model, not a curated record. The transcript is spliced from 4 exons.